Molecule: ribosomal RNA, 296 nt
Filed under: uncultured bacterium
Lineage: Bacteria
Description: partial 16S ribosomal RNA
Rfam family: Bacterial small subunit ribosomal RNA
Source: RNAcentral
CUUCCUACGGGAGGCAGCAGUGAGGAAUAUUGGUCAAUGGGCUUACGCCUGAACCAGCCAAGUCGCGUGAGGGAAGACUGCCCUAUGGGUUGUAAACCUCUUUUGUCAGGGAGCAAUUGGCGCUACGUGUAGCGUUAUCGAGAGUACCCGAAGAAAAAGCAUCGGCUACCUCCGUGCCAGCAGCCGCGGUAAUACGGAGGAUGCGCGCGUUAUCCGGAUUUAUUGGGUUUAAAGGCUGCGCAGGCGGACCAUCAAGUCAGCGGUAAAAUCGUGCGGCCCAACCCCCUCCCGCCGUU